Cucurbita moschata (crookneck pumpkin) is the source of this 1980-nucleotide long non-coding RNA. RefSeq lists it as uncharacterized. NCBI's taxonomy places the organism in Eukaryota, Viridiplantae, Streptophyta, Magnoliopsida, Cucurbitales, Cucurbitaceae. The transcript is spliced from 4 exons. The record is from RefSeq and is a predicted model, not a curated record.
UUUUCAUCAAACGACUUUCCUCUCUCUUCCCGUCAAAGAUUUCCUCUCAUACCAUUCAUCAAACGACUUUCCUCUCUCUUCCCGUCAAAGAUUUCCUCUCAUACCAUAAAAGGAUUUCCCUCCUAUUGUCGAAAAACAACAGAAGUUAGGGUUUGGGAGAGAGGAAGAACAGAGAUGACAAAUCACCAUUGGAGAUCGAAUCCAAGGCAAGAAACUUCGAAGCAAUGCUUCUCUCGGUGCUGGGAAAGGAGUUUGGGUGGUGGAUUCACUCAUUCUGGCAAGAAAAUCCGAGAAUGGACAAAUUUCUUGAAGUUCCUGGAAGAGAAUCGGACGAAAAUCGGAGUUUAGUCGGACUUCGGGUAAACGGAUCGAAAACAGAAAAGAGAGAGAAAGAGACCGCCAUGCGUCGACCGGCAAACGGAAGAGCGCAGCGGAGCCAGCGUGUGUCACGUGGCAACGUUCCACUCGUGGUCUGAGUCGAGUCGACCCGUACGCCCGUCGAGCCGGUUCAAAAACCCGCGAUCCAACCCGACGCUUCCCGCCAAACACUGCACGCCACGUGUCGCGCUCAGAAAAUUUGAAGGACCUAUCAAGGAAAUUCCAUAAGUUUUGAAAUCUUUUCCGGCAAAUAAAUUCGAGCUCGGAAAGGCACGCGUCAACCAUGUAAGUAGCCAUUUGGAUUUCCACGAGCAGUACUUUUGGGAACCGCUAGGAACAAGCAUGCAUGCUUCCACCCAUUAACUUAGCUAGCUGGACCUAGUAUAUUAGUAUGAAAACUACGAAAUAAAGAAAUGAUUAAGGAAAGCUAGAUAUGAAAUGUUUAUUAAAUCUGUUUGAUUGAGAUUCUGAUAAAGUAUGUAUGCAUGAGGAGGAUGGGAAACUUGUGAAAUCUACGCUCCGGGUAAAGAUGUACGUUAUCUUCCCGUUGAGCAUGUUUGUCAAUAUUGCAUGAACUGCUGUGUGUUAAUUCUUAUGCAUGAUGAUUGCUUGUGUUAUCUUUCUUGAUGAAUAGGAAGAAAUUAUGAGCUUAGAUUAGGGUGCUUGUGACGAAGUAGACUAGACGAGACCCUAGAUUGGGGGACCUCUAGAAUACCGUGCAAUUAGACCCGUGAAAUGAUUACUGGCGGAUCCAGAGCCUAGAAUUCCAAACCCAACAGAUUUGUGAGACCAGGCAUGAGAAUCCUAGAGAUACAUGAAUCCAAGUCUAAGCUACCAAUCCACCCUAGAAAGAAUAAUAGGUCACCACGGUAACUCUAGGUAGCCCGCUAGAGUUGAGCAGUGUAGAGAGUGUCAUCAGAACCUCCACUUCCCUUCUCCUCCGAUACCACACCGUCGAGACAGAGCUCUAGUACGGUGAUCGUUAAGCUUGGCAGAUCCGGAUAGGGAAGUGUGACAGGUGCCCGGACCUAGUGGUGAUAGCUAAAAGGUCUUCUGAACAGAACUCUUGGGCUGUAGAAACUCGUCCCUGAGCGGGGGACGUGGAGCCACAUAGGAUAACUCAGUAGCUGACCGGCACACACGGGGUCGCACCCCGUUUAGUGGAUGUAUGGUCCCGUGUGAGGGUCGUCAGCUAACCUCCACGGAUGAUGUUCAAAGAGAGUCACGUAUUCAGAUCCAGCCAUACGAUCCCCUCAGAUUUUCUUAUGAGGUCGCGCCUCGCCUCAGGACACUGAUCAUUUCACUGCAUAAGAUGGGAACGCCUUUUAAGAUUCAGAAAAGAGAGUUGUAGCUUAGAUCACUCUCCUUUGAAACCCGAGAAAGACAGUGGAUACCUACCAAGAUAAGGAUGUGAAAAGAGCCUACAAGUAGGCUACUUCCUAAGUUUUUUUAUACUCACCCCUUUCUCCCCUUUUCUUUUUUAGGUACCCGUCGAUACGGGGAGGUGUUCGAGAGCUGCACAGUCAUAGAGGGGUGUUGUUCCGGAGCGUCAGUCCCUUGUCAGUUUUUUGAGUCUUUUGUAUUUUUCUUCAUAAUUGUAUU